RNAcentral lists this ribosomal RNA (492 nucleotides) under uncultured bacterium. Its description in RNAcentral is "partial 16S ribosomal RNA". It matches the Rfam family "Bacterial small subunit ribosomal RNA", at positions 29 to 507 of the family's 1533-position model. The record is from RNAcentral.
AGUGAACGCUGGCGGUAGGCCUAACACAUGCAAGUCGAACGGCAGCACAGUAAGAGCUUGCUCUUACGGGUGGCGAGUGGCGGACGGGUGAGGAAUACAUCGGAAUCUACUUUUUCGUGGGGGAUAACGUAGGGAAACUUACGCUAAUACCGCAUACGACCUACGGGUGAAAGCAGGGGAUCUUCGGACCUUGCGCGAUUGAAUGAGCCGAUGUCGGAUUAGCUAGUUGGCGGGGUAAAGGCCCACCAAGGCGACGAUCCGUAGCUGGUCUGAGAGGAUGAUCAGCCACACUGGAACUGAGACACGGUCCAGACUCCUAAGGGAGGCAGCAGUGGGGAAUAUUGGAUAAUGGGCGCAAGCCUGAUCCAGCCAUACCGCGUGGGUGAAGAAGGCCUUCGGGUUUUAAAGCCCUUUUGUUGGGAAAGAAAAGCAGCAGGUUAAUACCCCGCUGUUCUGACGGUACCCAAAGAAUAAGCACCGGCUAACUUCGUG